AAACUGCCCCACCCCUGGCACACAGGGAAAACGGUGCUUAUAUGUGUAAUAUGCUCUCAUGGAUACAUGCAAUAUGACUAGUAAUUUUUGCCUUGUGAUGUAAAUUCUCUUUCUUCCUCACUCAGAAAAACAUAUUGUAGUUGAAAAAAAAAAAAGAAUUCUGGCCAGGCAUGGUGGCUCAUGCCUAUAAUCCCAGCACUUUGGGAGGCUGAGGUAGGUGGAUCAUCUGAGGUCAGAUCGAAACCAGCCUGGCCAACAUGGCAAAACCCCAUCUGUACUAAAAAUACAAAAAUUAGCCAGGCACGGUGGCAGGUGCCUGUAAUACCAGCUACUCAAGAGGCCGAGACAGGAGCAUUCCUUGAACCUGGGAGGCGGAGGUUGCAGUGAGCUGAGAUUGCACCAUUGUACUCCAGCCUGCUCAGCAGAGUGAGACUCAGUCUCAAAAACCAAAAGAAUUCUGAUUCUUUCUGAGUGUGUGUGUGUGAGGGGGGACACAAAUUUAGACUGAAACUUUGCUAAAUAAUAGGUUAUUACUGAUCCAGAUACAUUAGGGUAGUGAGAACAGUAAGUCUGGAAAAGAAAAGGAUUGUUAGCAGUACACAUACACUCUCCCACACAUAGAACAAUGCUUGGGUCUACUGCAUUUUAAUAUCCGCUGAACAGGUAGUGUGAAUUCACAUCAUUUUAGCGAUGGGAAAACAGAAAAUUGCGGAGAGCUUAACUGAAUUUCCUGAGGUCAUGGUGAUUGGGGAAGACAAGCUACAACUCUGUCAAGUGUCUCAUUCCAUUUUCAGAGGAGCAGAGGUCAGGUGCCUCCUACGGUUGAGGUCUCGCCAGAAAGACCAUGGUCGCAUUCCUCAGCACUCAGGCAAGUGUUUUGAUGCCUGGGUGCCCCUACCUGGUGAGCCCAGCAUUCACGAAGCAUACGUGACAGGAGAACGGUUGGAAUAUUGCUCAACAUUGUCAGGUCGACGGCACUGGCUGCAUGUAAUUUGAGAAGAGUUAUAGAAUGUCAGCCAGACUUUUAUGACGCACUCCUCUCCUCUUCCUGAGGAUUGUUUGCAUGUAGAGAUUUUCUGCCUGCAUUUUUAGUGUCAAAUUUUUUGUGGUUUCUCAAGUCCCUUCGGCCAUGUCUUACUGACUUACGUAGAAACCCUGAUAAAGCUGAUGACCACUGAAUGGAAAGAAGUCAGUGUGGAAAGCCCAGGAAUUGUCCCAUAGCUGGCCCUGUAGGUUUGCACAGGUUCCCCAGAAUAAGUUUGCAGAUAGCUUCACUUCCAGGAGUCCUGAGUUUCACUAGUUCCCCUUCUUUAUGAUGAAUUGAAAAAAGGAUUUAUUCUGGGGUAAAGCAAAAGGGAACAGGGUACAGCAAAGAUCCCUAGAUCAUUUUUCCCAGUGGCCCAUUGCUCCUGCUGCUUUUUUCACGCCAGCUGGAUCUCCCCAAGCCCCAUGUCUGCAGCAAAGUCUCCGUGGUGAAACAG
RNAcentral lists this long non-coding RNA (1481 nucleotides) under Callithrix jacchus (white-tufted-ear marmoset). RNAcentral's name for it is "lncRNA (ENSCJAG00000085298.1)". The record is from RNAcentral. Lineage: Eukaryota; Metazoa; Chordata; Mammalia; Primates; Cebidae.